AUUGAACGCUGGCGGCAUGCCUUACACAUGCGAGUCGAACGGCAGCACGGGUGCUUGCACCUGGUGGCGAGUGGCGAACGGGUGAGUAAUACAUCGGAACAUGUCCUGUAGUGGGUGAUAGCCCGGCGAAAGCCGGAUUAAUACCGCAUACGAUCUACGGAUGAAAGCGGGGGACCUUCGGGCCUCGCGCUAUAGGGUUGGCCGAUGGCUGAUUAGCUAGUGGGUGGGGUAAAGGCCUACCAAGGCGACGAUCAGUAGCUGGUCUGAGAGGACGACCAGCCACACUGGGACUGAGACACGGCCCAGACUCCUACGGGAGGCAGCAGUGGGGAAUUUUGGACAAUGGGCGAAAGCCUGAUCCAGCAAUGCCGCGUGUGUGAAGAAGGCCUUCGGGUUGUAAAGCACUUUUGUCCGGAAAGAAAUCCUUGGCCCUAAUACGGUCGGGGGAUGACGGUACCGGAAGAAUAAGCACCGGCUAACUACGUG
RNAcentral lists this ribosomal RNA (486 nucleotides) under uncultured bacterium. RNAcentral describes it as "partial 16S ribosomal RNA". It matches the Rfam family "Bacterial small subunit ribosomal RNA", at positions 30 to 507 of the family's 1533-position model. The record is from RNAcentral.